Lethenteron reissneri (Far Eastern brook lamprey) is the source of this 298-nucleotide long non-coding RNA. RefSeq lists it as uncharacterized. The record is from RefSeq and is a predicted model, not a curated record. Lineage: Eukaryota; Metazoa; Chordata; Hyperoartia; Petromyzontiformes; Petromyzontidae.
GGAGGACAAGGAAGCGGCCAUUCUUCAGCUGGGCCGGGGACAUAAAUUUGCCCGGUGCUGACAGCUGCUGACCACUCUGCUGACGGGCGGGCAGAUGGGCCGUAAACACCCAUCAACGAGCCAGAAGUGACCGCACACGCCUCGCCCAAAACAAUCCCUCAAGGCCCUGUUCUACCACACAACCAACCUGCUCUCUGCUGCUGCUGCGCAGGUCACGCUACAAGGCUGGCUCUUGGGAGAUGGUUGACCAUACUUCACCCCAUCACCGCUAAAUUUACGGAGCCCAAGACGGAUGCAG